AAGUCUGCACUUCCUUGAAUAGAAAUUUAUGUGAUUAAAUCUAAGUUUGUGAUUCUUCUUUUCAACAGUAGCAUAAAUAUUAAUUAAACAAGAAUACUUUUUAUUUUUAGUUAAAACAUGUAUGAUUUUGUUUGAUAGGUUGGGUUUGCAAGCACUUCAUUCUUGAGCGGACUGAAAGCUGUGAGCAUUUAUGUAAAAUGUCUAAAUAAUGAACAAAUUAUGGGAAAUAACUGUCCAAAUAUGGGUUAGUAUGAAUAUGAUGAACACACA
This 270-nucleotide unclassified non-coding RNA is filed under the name Hevea brasiliensis (rubber tree). The record is from RNAcentral. Lineage: Eukaryota; Viridiplantae; Streptophyta; Magnoliopsida; Malpighiales; Euphorbiaceae.